Molecule: long non-coding RNA, 203 nt
Filed under: Elaeis guineensis (African oil palm)
Lineage: Eukaryota; Viridiplantae; Streptophyta; Magnoliopsida; Arecales; Arecaceae
Description: long non-coding RNA (EGUI_LNC065312)
Source: RNAcentral
AGAUCAAAUCCCUAAGGGGUUAACUGAUUCGAUGCCUCACGAGGUCUGAAUGCACAGAUCCUCUACUUCACGCGCACGUCAAGCUCCAUAAGGAAGAGAGAUAAAGUCCUGUGCAUCAAUCCUUAGAAGAAAAGUGAGGAGAGGGACGAGAUCUAAUCUCCAAAGCCUUAAAGCAAUUCUUCAUGCCAAGAACUAGGACCCCA